RNAcentral lists this ribosomal RNA (253 nucleotides) under uncultured bacterium. Its description in RNAcentral is "partial 16S ribosomal RNA". It matches the Rfam family "Bacterial small subunit ribosomal RNA", at positions 524 to 776 of the family's 1533-position model. The record is from RNAcentral.
UACGGAGGGAGCUAGCGUUGUCCGGAAUUACUGGGCGUAAAGCGCACGUAGGCGGCUUUGUAAGUUAGAGGUGAAAGCCCGGGGCUCAACCCCGGAAUUGCCUUUAAGACUGCAUCGCUUGAAUCCGGGAGAGGUGAGUGGAAUUCCGAGUGUAGAGGUGAAAUUCGUAGAUAUUCGGAAGAACACCAGUGGCGAAGGCGGCUCACUGGACCGGUAUUGACGCUGAGGUGCGAAAGCGUGGGGAGCAAACAGG